This 253-nucleotide ribosomal RNA is filed under the name uncultured bacterium. RNAcentral's name for it is "partial 16S ribosomal RNA". It matches the Rfam family "Bacterial small subunit ribosomal RNA", at positions 524 to 776 of the family's 1533-position model. The record is from RNAcentral.
UACGUAGGGUGCAAGCGUUAAUCGGAAUUACUGGGCGUAAAGCGUGCGCGGGCGGUUUUGUAAGUCUGUCGUGAAAGCCCCGGGCUCAACCUGGGAAUUGCGAUGGAGACUGCAAGGCUAGAAUCUGGCAGAGGGGGGUAGAAUUCCACGUGUAGCAGUGAAAUGCGUAGAGAUGUGGAGGAACACCGAUGGCGAAGGCAGCCCCCUGGGUCAAGAUUGACGCUCAUGCACGAAAGCGUGGGGAGCAAACAGG